CUUUGUUUGGAUGUGGGAUGGGCCUGGGAACGUUGCGUCAAAGCAUUGAAUAAUAUAUUCACGCAGGCCGUAGUGGGCAACACUUAUAAUUCGCAUGACCGUGAGGUCACAAAUUUAACACUGCUGGGAACUCCACAGAAAAUGUCUACUCGUCUGUAUCCACUGUACCAGCGAGGUAAUCCGCAAUUGCGGAUAUUCCUUCCAAACUUCUGGAUGAAGUUGAUACGUCCAAAGCACAAAAUCCCAUCAAAUGCUGUUCAGUUCAUUGUGUCACCUGAGAUGACCAAACUUGAUGUCAAGCAAUACCUGGAGAAGAUAUACAAUGUACCUGUGGUCCAAGUCAGCAUCUCUAACAGACUAGGUCAAUUUCGCAAAUUGGAGGGAAAGGGAUACAUAGUCAAGGAUGAUGACAUUAAAUAUGCCUUUGUCACCUUGCCAAAGGACAUGGUAUUUGAGUUUCCGAAUCUGCUGCCCGAGGAGAAGCAGAAGGAGCUGUCGGACCAGAUGAAGGAGAUCGAGCUUGCGAGGGAUACGUACAAGAAGGACCAGGAACGCUUCAAAGACAGGCCCGGUGUGCCCACCUGGUUCAACUAGUCCGCCGUCUGUCCGGCUUCAUGUGCGCUGACUUUGGAUGGGAGGUGUGCGAGAGUCGCGUCGACCGCGCUCAUUAGCCAGGUGACAGAUGAAUACGUGAGGAACAUGUACUGUAUGCUGCCCCUUUUGACUGUAGACCUGUUGCCCAGCGGACGUCGAGUCGUCUACAGUCAUGUGACCACUCGUGAUUGUUUCGUCGCCUUGGCGCCUGUUAUCAUGCUCAUUUUUAUGGAAGAUGAUAGCGACAUUUCAGGU
RNAcentral lists this long non-coding RNA (849 nucleotides) under Pollicipes pollicipes. Its description in RNAcentral is "uncharacterized LOC119091684". Lineage: Eukaryota; Metazoa; Arthropoda; Thecostraca; Pollicipedomorpha; Pollicipedidae. The record is from RNAcentral.